UACAGAGGUCUCAAGCGUUGUUCGGAUUCAUUGGGCGUAAAGGGUGCGUAGGUGGCGCCAUAAGUCAGGUGUGAAAUCUCGGGGCUCAACCUCGAAACUGCACUUGAUACUGUGGUGCUUGAGUACUGGAGAGGAGAUUGGAAUUUACGGUGUAGCAGUGAAAUGCGUAGAUAUCGUAAGGAAGACCAGUGGCGAAGGCGAAUCUCUGGACAGUUACUGACACUGAGGCACGAAGGCCAGGGGAGCAAACGGGG
This 254-nucleotide ribosomal RNA is filed under the name uncultured bacterium. RNAcentral's name for it is "partial 16S ribosomal RNA". It matches the Rfam family "Bacterial small subunit ribosomal RNA", at positions 524 to 777 of the family's 1533-position model. The record is from RNAcentral.